CCUACGGGUGGCAGCAGUGAGGAAUAUUGGUCAAUGGACUCACGUCUGAACCAGCCAUGCCGCGUGCGGGAAGACGGCUCUAUGAGUUGUAAACUGCUUUUGUACGGGGGUAAACGCAGAUACGCGUAUCUGUCUGAAAGUAUCGUGCGGAUAAGGCUCGACUAACUCCGUGCCAAGAGCCGCGGUAAUACGGAGGAUUCAAGCGUUAUCCGGAUUUAUUGGGGUUAAAGGGUUCGGAGGCGGUCGGAUAAGUUAGAGGUUAAAUCCCGAGGCUCAACUUCGGCAUUGCCUCUGAUACUGUUCGGCUAGAGAGUAGUUGCGGUAGGCGGAAUGUAUGGUGUAGCGGUGAAAUGCUUAGAGAUCACACAGAACACCGAUUGCGAAGGCAGCUUACCAAGCUACUUCUGACGUUGAGGCACGAAAGCGUGGGGAGCAAACAGGAUUAGAUACCCUUGUAGUC
RNAcentral lists this ribosomal RNA (460 nucleotides) under uncultured bacterium. RNAcentral describes it as "partial 16S ribosomal RNA". It matches the Rfam family "Bacterial small subunit ribosomal RNA", at positions 338 to 795 of the family's 1533-position model. The record is from RNAcentral.